Molecule: ribosomal RNA, 1454 nt
Filed under: uncultured organism
Description: SSU rRNA
Rfam family: Bacterial small subunit ribosomal RNA
Source: RNAcentral
GAUGAACGCUAGCUACAGGCUUAACACAUGCAAGUCGAGGGGCAGCAUGGUCUUAGCUUGCUAAGGCCGAUGGCGACCGGCGCACGGGUGAGUAACGCGUAUCCAACCUGCCUUACACUCUUGGACAGCCUUCUGAAAGGGAGAUUAAUACAAGAUGUUAUCAUGAGUAAGCAUUUUCGCAUGAUUAAAGGUUUACCGGUGUAAGAUGGGGAUGCGUUCCAUUAGAUAGUAGGCGGGGUAACGGCCCACCUAGUCUUCGAUGGAUAGGGGUUCUGAGAGGAAGGUCCCCCACAUUGGAACUGAGACACGGUCCAAACUCCUACGGGAGGCAGCAGUGAGGAAUAUUGGUCAAUGGACGAGAGUCUGAACCAGCCAAGUAGCGUGAAGGAUGAAGGUUCUAUGGAUUGUAAACUUCUUUUAUACGGGAAUAAACGAAUCCACGUGUGGAUUUUUGCAUGUACCGUAUGAAUAAGGAUCGGCUAACUCCGUGCCAGCAGCCGCGGUAAUACGGAGGAUCCGAGCGUUAUCCGGAUUUAUUGGGUUUAAAGGGAGCGUAGAUGGGUUGUUAAGUCAGUUGUGAAAGUUUGCGGCUCAACCGUAAAAUUGCAAUUGAUACUGGCAGUCUUGAGUACAGUUGAGGUAGGCGGAAUUCGUGGUGUAGCGGUGAAAUGCUUAGAUAUCACGAAGAACUCCGAUUGCGAAGGCAGCUUACUAACCUGUAACUGACAUUGAUGCUCGAAAGUGUGGGUAUCAAACAGGAUUAGAUACCCUGGUAGUCCACACGGUAAACGAUGAAUACUCGCUGUAGGCGAUAUACAGUCUGCGGCCAAGCGAAAGCAUUAAGUAUUCCACCUGGGGAGUACGCCGGCAACGGUGAAACUCAAAGGAAUUGACGGGGGCCCGCACAAGCGGAGGAACAUGUGGUUUAAUUCGAUGAUACGCGAGGAACCUUACCCGGGCUUAAAUUGCAACCGAAUAUGGCGGAAACGCUAUAGCUAGCAAUAGCGGUUGUGAAGGUGCUGCAUGGUUGUCGUCAGCUCGUGCCGUGAGGUGUCGGCUUAAGUGCCAUAACGAGCGCAACCCUUGCCGAUAGUUACUAACAGGUCAUGCUGAGGACUCUGUCGGGACUGCCAUCGUAAGAUGUGAGGAAGGUGGGGAUGACGUCAAAUCAGCACGGCCCUUACGUCCGGGGCUACACACGUGUUACAAUGGGGGGUACAGAGGGCUGCUACCACGCAAGUGGAUGCCAAUCCCAAAAACCUCUCUCAGUUCGGAUUGAAGUCUGCAACCCGACUUCAUGAAGCUGGAUUCGCUAGUAAUCGCGCAUCAGCCACGGCGCGGUGAAUACGUUCCCGGGCCUUGUACACACCGCCCGUCAAGCCAUGGGAGCCGGGGGUACCUGAAGUGCGUAACCGCAAGGAGCGCCCUAGGGUAAAACUGGUGACUGGGGCUAA